Brassica rapa (field mustard) is the source of this 10039-nucleotide long non-coding RNA. RefSeq lists it as uncharacterized. NCBI's taxonomy places the organism in Eukaryota, Viridiplantae, Streptophyta, Magnoliopsida, Brassicales, Brassicaceae. The record is from RefSeq and is a predicted model, not a curated record.
AGUGACUUUAGCCUAUUGGUUAUAAGAGAAAUUACCAGUGCUAGAGGUGUUGGGUUCAAUUACCCUUAACUGCAUUCAUUUAUUUUGGCUCUAAAUAUAAAAUGGGACACGUGUCACUCCCAGAACGCACGAAUUGAUGACGUGGCUUCACGGAAGCGAGGCGAACAUUUCUUUAUAUAUAUAAAUUAUAUAGUACAUACUUAAUAUUAUAAUUACAUGUCACUUACAAACUCAAGAGCAUAUUCGAAACUAAUAUUAUUCUUAGAAAUAAAUUAUUAAUGUGGCAUCUUAUGAAUUUAAUUCAAACGUAACGAUUAGGAAGAAAUCAAGAAAUUAAAAUAAAAUAAGAAACAUCUUCUCUUUAAUUAUUUUCCAGGCAGUAUGUGUCUGUUCAAUUAGCCAUUAGCCAGAUUCCUCAAUGUCCUUACAUCCAUUGAUUUAGAAUCAUUCGCACAACAAAUUCUUCUCGAUUCAAAGGUACGUAGUAGGUGCAUUCAUUUCAACAUGUCACACGUUGUUUUUGUCAUCCAUCAGUCUAUAUCGUAUCACUUCAUCCAUAUUAAACAAAAUAUCUUAGAUGUAUAAACGUGAGUUCCACCUAAGAUUUGCUAAUCAGCUUUAUACAACAAUAAUCCUUCAGUCGUUCUCAAUUAUUUUGUCUUAAAAACAGUUAAUUAAUAUACAAUACAAUAAAAAUGAAAAUACAAUACAAUAUUUUUUAAAAGAAAAUACAAUACAAUUAAAAUGUGAAAUAAUCUGAAUUUUUUUUUACUGAAGAAAAUCUGAAAACAAUAGGAUACAUCAAACUGAAAGUUCAAAACCUAGUGAUUUGUAGACACCAUAUCAUAGUUCAUAUGUAAUUUGAAAAAUAAUUACCAAAUGUGUACAUAAAAAGCCAAUUUGUAGACACCAAUUUGUUUUGUUUUAGUGCUAAAUCUAUACUAUUAAAAUAGGAUUCUAUUAUCUUUUUUACCUUAACCUGUCAUUUUCUUUACUAACAUUGUAUGUUUCAUUAAGGGCAAUCAAGUAAUAUUAAUAACACUUCUAUAUUGGGUCAUUUUUUUCGGAUCCAGCCCAUAUCAGAUCUCUCUUGGGCCAUAUGGGCCGAUUAAGAAAUCAGAUCCAAUUCUCACAUUUUUUUUUCCUUUUGGCCAUUGAGUCUAAGUUCAAAUAAUUUUUUUCAACUAUUCUUAAUUAUUAUUUUUUCUUUUCUUAAUAUAAUUUAAGCAUUCAUAAAAAAAAUUGAUUUUUUUUCAUUGAAAAGUAUAAAUCUUUAUUAAAAGUAUAUAAACUUUUUAUUAAAAUAUUAAUCACAUAAUAGAACUAAUUUAUCAAAGUUAUACCAACUUAAUUCAUUAAAAAAUAAAGUUUAAUUUUUAAACAUAAAUAGUCAUUUAAAAUAAAAUAUGAUAAAUAAAGAUAAAAAGUUUAAGUAUUUUAUAAAAUAAAACACAAAUAUAUGAACAUAUGACAUUUACUAAAUAUUUGUCAAUUGAAAAAAAAUAAUAAUAAUAAACUCGCGCUUUCAAAGCGCGGAUCAAAAUCUAGAUUUCUUUAACAAAUAAACAUAGUUGGUUAAGACUGUAAACUUAAAGAAAAAUUAGGGACCAAAAGAAAACAUGGAGAAAGAUAUGUAUUUCAGUUUUUUCAAAAAAGAAAAGAAAAGAUACGUAUAUCAGUGUGCCAAAACCUUCUUACACUAAAAAAUAAAUGUGAGUUACGUAUCUACAUUUACUCUAUAGCGAGCUUUAACAUGCUUAAUGCUUUUAGCUGACAGGUGUCCGUCCAAAUUAAAAUAGAUUAAUCUUCCUUAUUAAAAUAGAAGUACUAUUUUUAUCUACUAUUUAGAAGUCUACUAAGACCAUUUCAUUAAUCACAUAAUAUGACAUAAUAAUUAAUAGAAAUAUUAAUAAUAAAUUAAUUUUAACUAUAGAUUUGAAUUUUAUUUUCAGUUAUAAUAAAAUUUGUUGAGAAAAUUCUAACAAAAUCCUACUAAAUUUUUAAAUAAUUUUUAUUAAAUUUUGCAUUAAUUAAUUUCGUAAUUAAGUAAUAUAAUGCUUUCGUUUAAAUAAAUUAUCAUCUACCACUAAAACGGGUUCAAAUUGUUAAUCAUGUCAGUUUUUUUUAUACAAAUGAAGUUAUUAACAUAUAUUAAAAAUUUAUUUCUACAGCUAUAUAUUUUUAAAAAUCAUAUGUUAAAGAAUAUUUUUUAUUUGAUUAUUUAAAAUUAUGAAAACUCAAAAACGUAAUAAAAAAGGUAAAAUGUAUAAAACAAACCCAUAUAUUAAUAAAGUAAUAAGAAACCUAAAAAAUAAAUAAAGAGUUAUAAAAUACAUAACAUUAUGAUAUAAAUUGUAUAUUUAAAUUUAUAUAAUAAUAUCAAAAUUAAAUAUUUAUAAAAUAAAAAUAUACCCGCACGAUGUGCAGGAUAAACUCUAGUUUAUUUUUAAAUUUAUUAUAUUUUAGUCCAUAUAACUUUUUAAUUGAAAUGCCCCAAAAUUGAAAUUGUCAAAAUUAACCCUACUUAUAAUUCCACAUUUGAAAAUAACUUAUUAAUAUAUGGUGAUAUAUAAAAUAGAAAUAAUUUUUUAUUAAAUAAUUGUACGAAAAAUCUUAUAAAUAAAAUAGAUUUAGUUAGAGAGAUAUUUUAUUAUUGAUUGAUAUUAAACUAUCAAUUCACCGUAACAAUAUUUAAUACAAUUUUUUUGUAACUAACGGAAAACAACAGAAAAACAGUAUCAAAUUAAAAGUGACUAAACUUCUUAAACUUAAGAAUUCACUUUUUACAUUUUCUUAGUUUAUUUUCGUUGCAAAUGUUGUUAUGCUCUUCUCUUAUUUAAAUAUGAUAUAUCUUUAAAAUUUUGAAUUUAUUUUACUGUUUUAUUAAGUUAACUAUCAAAACUAAUUAAAAAUAUUUAUAUUAUAAUUUUAUUUAAAAAUUAGUGGACUAAUAUAUUAAUCUAUUAAAUGUUUUCACCGUUCACAGAAAAUAUCAGUUUUUAACAAAGGAAACAAAAAGUGAAAGCAUAUCCAGAGAACAUAAAAAAAUAUUAAACCUUUAGUAACACACUUAAUAAGUUACAAAAUCUUACCAAAAGUUUAGUAUAAAUCUUAAUAAGUUAUAACAAAAGUUUUGGUACGACUUUGGAAAGCUUUUGUAAGACUAUUUAACUUAUUAAGAGUUACUAAAGUUUUAAUAUUUGUUUCAUGUUCUCUGCUUUCACUUUUUGUUUUAAUAUUUUUAAUAUUUAGUGAACAAAGCUUAUUGCUUUUUGAAUUAAAGAUUGGACCUUUCGAGCAUUGAAUAUAGGUUUAUAGAUCGUAUAGAGUUAUAGUUACAUCGAGGAGUCACAAUGUGACGGUAUUGGUGGCCACCAUGUGAGCAAGAUCUCAGUUUGAUCUUCGUUUCUUUGCUAAACAACAGACUACAUUUUGUUUUCUAGUACAUAAUCUGGUUUAAGGGUCAAUCUCCUUUAAUUUAUAGCAUUUUCUUUUUGUAAUCGAUACAUGUGUCUUAGUUUCGACAUGAUCUUGUUCAAAGGUCAUCUCCCAUAGCUAAUUAACAUAAGUUCAGGCUUACGCACAAUCUUGUUGAAGGCCAUCUCUCAAAUUCACUAGUGGGUAGUUGCGGAAAAUUGUUAUCUGAGAUCGAGUAUUAAGGAAAACGAGACAUGACUGAAUCACUGACUUGGCCUAGUUGAUUGUAUCCAUGAGUUUGUGUACCCUGUGAAGCAUCAUCACUACUUUUUGAUUUUCUGUUUGUGGAUUUAUUUUUCAUCUCUUUUGAAACCCUUUUAUUUGGUCGUUUCUUUAGAAACUGAAGACGCGUGUGAUCAAUAGUAACUGUAAUCCAGUGUGGAACGAACAACUGACCCUUUCCAUUAAAGAUCUGGAUGAUCCAAUCCGUCUGAUAAAGACUGAUUCUCGGGAGAUGAAUGGGUGAUGUGGAAAUAGACAUAAGUCCUUUCUUAGAAGCCCAUCAGAUGGAGUUAAGAUUUACAGAAGCUCCCCAAUGGUUGUGCAAUCAAGAGGAUCCGUCCAGGAAGGACCAACUGUUUGGCUGAAGAGAGCAGCAUCAAUUGGAACAAUGGGAAGGUCAAACAAGACAUGAUUCUUAGACUAAAGAAUGGAGAGCGUGGAGAAAUGGAGAUCAUGCUCGAGUGGACUGAUGGUCCAGGCUACAAGGAUCUCAUGAUCCAAGAAGACACCAUGGAUGCAACUAAACGAUUGGACUAAGGUGCAGAAAUGUUCAAGAGAGACCGUGAAGAUGUGGUUGUUAUUUUCUUCUUCUCCUCAUGGAAAGACAAGUUUGCCUUUAUUUCUGCUUUGGUCUUUAGCUGUACAUGUUGAAUAUAAAACAACCCGUUAUAUAUGUACAUUUGUAUAUGUUUCUACUAUUGAAAAAUUGAAGCAAACUUUCUAGAAACUCUUCAAGUUUUUCUUAGUUUCUGCUAAUGAAUAUGUAUAUAUAUAUAUUGCUGGACGAAGCACAAAAAGGUCAACGAUGUUGACUUUCAUCCACUGUCAAGAUAGGAGAUGCACAGAUAGACAUCAAGCCGUUCCCUUAAGAUUCACAAAUUGGGUUGGCAUGGAAAUGAGAUCAAGACAGUCUAAAGAGAGCAAAAUCGUCUACCAUAUUGGCAAUAUCAUUCAUGACAUUGAUUCUUUUGUCGAGGAACGUUGAAUGUGGUGGUAAAGAACUCUGAGAGACAGAGAUUGACGUAUUCUGAUGAUUCAUAUAUCAUGAUAACUUCUCAUUUACCGUAUACAAGAAACGGUCUCAAGUUCUUUACCAAGAGAGGAGGAUUAACGUUUUCUGAAGUGGAGAAGAUACUAUGUGAUUUAGCUGCAUUAAAGUACGCAAAUAGACAGUCUAAAGUCGCGCUUACUCUAAGCACCUUAGAUAAACUAUUUAAGAGAGAAUCAAUCACUAUGAUACUCCUCUCAAAGGAAUUAAGGCAAGAGUCUAGCUUUAUAAGAUCUCCCUGCUUUAAUGUUUCUAUACAUAUUAUAACAUUCUUUUUUUUUGUUGGUGUAUGUUAUUAGAUAGUAGUGAAUGCUGGUAAUGGGUCAGGAGGGUUCUUUACGUGGGACGUUCUAGAAAAGUUAGGAUCCGAAACAUUCUGUUCACUCUAUCUUAAUCCAGAUGGGAUGUUUCCUAUCGAUUGAUUAGUUUAUGCGACUUAUAAUAAUUAGUACGGAUAUAGGAAUUACAGUAGUGACGAAUGCAAUAACGAGUAUGGGGCUCACUAGGUUUAUAACGGAGAGAGGAGGGAGACAUUGUUUGUACAGAGUAGGGUAUAGAAACGUGAUCGACAAGGGAGUAGAGUUGAACAGAGAGGGCAUCGAGACACAUCUCAUGAGUCAUUAUGGAGACUUCAAGACAUGGUGCUGUUAAAGAGAACCACUACUUGGAUGAUGGUUAGUUAAUUAUGAUGUAGGCCAGAAUGGUUUAUUUGCAUGUGUGUUCCACGUAAACGCAAAUAAACAAUCAUGGAUCAAAUCCUCUUUUGUUCUUAUGGGUUUAUGUUGAUAUAUGGUUAUUAAAUUAUAAUCUUCUAAUGUUUUUAGCUGCAUACAUAGUGGUGAAAAUUAUGAUUGAAAUGGUGAGAAUGAGACUUGCCGGAUCAAAUGAAUGUAUAGAUAGUCUGAUCAAAGAUCUUGAGGAGCCGUUAGAAGCGCUUGGGCUGCGGAUGAAUAUUUUGUCAGAGCCAAGAGAUGCAAUAGAAAAAGGCAUUGAAGCUAUUGCGACAUUCAGUCAAUAUAUCGAGGUAUCAUAGCUUUAUUAGUAAUCCGAUUAGUUGUGGUCCUUGUGGAUGUAGCUUUAAAUUUCAGAAUUAUAAUUUAAAUGGUUAUUAGGAAGGAAAACUAAAAGGAUGGGAACUAGACUCUUGUGGAGAAUGUUGGGUAAUUGAAGGUUGCAUAGUGGACUCAAAUGAUCAUCAAUCUGCCAUUGAUGCUCACAUGUACAGGUAAUUUAUUUUGUUUACAGAUUCUUUAUAUCAUAUGAUGAUAUUAGAAAUUCAACUUAUUAAUUUACAUAAAUAAUAAUUCAGGGUAAAGGUGAGGGAUGAAGAUUGAAGAGUGGGGAAUAGUAUGGGUGGGUGCACCGUGCACAUAAGGCAGAGCAUUCAUAUCCCUAACAUUGUUCUUAGUAUGCAAUCAAUGCUUUCUGGUGGAUGUCUCUUCAUGACAAGACUCUUCAGAGACUUGUAACUUUUUCAUUCUUCAUAAUUCUAAUAACUAAGUCUUACUCCGAAUAUGAAAUUUUGAAGAACUUAAUGUUCAAAUGUUUUUUUUGUUGUUGUUGACAACGUUAGAGUAGAUUUACGUUUGCGCGAUUCAGGUUUUUGGAAUCUGUUGGGAUGGCUAGAUUCUUGGAUAUAAGGGAUUUCAGACAAUUACAUUGCAAGUCAACCUUGAAGACUUUUCAGGUAAAUUGAACUUGUGAUGUUAACUACAUGCAAAUAAAUCGUUGUUGUCUACAUUAGAGAAAAGUACAGAUACAUCACUCUUGCAUGUUAGCUACAUGCAAGUCUUUGAAGUCUUCACAAUGGUUUAUUGAUCAAGAAGAGAAUUAAAUAGAGUUAACGUUUUAGAAGUCCACGUUAUUUUUUAAUUAAUGAAAUUAAGCUUGUGAUGUUAACUACAUAAUUUUAUUAAAUUGAGAGAUGUUGCCAUGAAUAACAUAUACUUUAUGUAAUUAAGCAUACACUAGUUUAGUAUGAAUAGUUAGCCAUGUGAUGGUCAAUACUUCAAGUAACCACCAAUCAUUUUUUCUAUUUAAAUUUUAAUUAGAAAUUUAAAAUUUGGCAUCUUAUUAGAUUUCAAAGCUCUGCCUUUAUUCAAGGGACAAUAAAGUAUAAAAAAACUGUUUUUGUUAUUACAUAAUUUUAAAUUUUUAUUCUAUAAUCUCUAUAAAUUUUCAAGAAAUAUUAUUUUUUUUAAUUUUAAAUUUAUUUUGAUCGUAUUGUAAACAUUCACUUAACUUAUGUAAAGCAUCUAAAAAAACUCUAUUUUGAAGUUUCCAAUACUCUAUAUUUGAAAUUUAAAUGUGUUCUCCAAAAGCAAAACUUCAAAAUUAACUUCAAAACUAUUUGUCUUUUACACUAUAGUCCUUAUAUUUGUCAUAAUAAAUUUAAAUUCAUAAAAAAAUUGUAAAUAACUAGCACGUAUAUAAAAUUACAACAACAAUAUUAAUUGAUAAAAUAUUACACUAAAAUAGAAAAUUUUAAAUAGAAAUACAUAAUUAAUAAUAAAUUUCAAAAAAAAUACCAUAUUAUCCAUAAAAUUAUUUCUGUAAUGCAAUUCGAAGUGAAAAUGACUUUUUUUUUUAUUUUUAAUUUGUAGAUUACGAACUAAAAAAUAGUGAAAUCGAGUGAUAUUAAUACUUGUAAAUACAUUAGAUCUGAACAAGAAAGUAAAAUAGGAAAAAAAUAUUGUUAAAAGACUUAACUAGUUAUUUAACAAUUAUUCACGUGAAUACAUUCGAUCUGAAUAAGAAUGAUUUAUACGGAAAAGACAUCAACUAACAACAACAAACAUUUUCGGUUACAAAAAAAAUUGUUUGAACAAUAUUUUGGAGGUUUCAGGUCAAAUUACAUGAAUAUUAGUGUUGAUGUAAUAUUAAGAUUUGUGUAAUAGUUAUGUCUUCAUGUAAUUUUUAAUGCUUGUUUUUGUAAGUUUCUUUUAUAUAAUGUUGUUUUCUAAAUUUAGUUUUAAAAUAUUUUAAAUAUUAUUCUAAAGUUUUAUUUAAUUUUAAUUGUAAAACUUAAAUUUAUAAAAAAAAAUGAAAAAUUUAUGAGAUAUAAAAUUUUUAAAGAUUAAAAAGAUAAACAAAAAAAAUAUUUAAAAAUCAUAAAUGUGAUGUGUAACUGUCGGGACCAAAAUGUAAACAAAUAUGAAACGUCAAUUGAAGUUUUGAAGUUUUUUUUUCAUAGAGCAAAAAACUUCAUAUUUGAAGUUAUAAAAUGUAUUUUAAAGAAGUAGAGAAAUUUCUUUUUGAUUUUUAUUUUCCUUCCUUUUCCUAUUUAUUAUAUUAUCCUCUUGUUACCCGUAAAAUCUACGGGUAACAAGAGGAUAAUAUAAUAAGUCGCAGGAGGAGUUCGAGAGAGAGAUGAGAAAACUCGGCAAACUGAUGCAUAAGAAUAUCAUUGAGAUCAAAGGGUACUACUGGACGCAAUCUCUGCAGCUCCUGAGCUAUGAGUUUGUCUCAGGGGAAGCUUAUACAGACAUCUCCAUGGGGACGAGUGCGUUUGCUUGACUUGGCGUGAAUGAUUCAGCAUCAUUCUUGGGAUAGCGAUAGGUCUUGCUUAUCUGCACAGGAGUAACAUCGCUCACUACAAUCUGAAAGCAACGAACGUGCUCAUAGACGCAGCUACAUGAGAGACCAAAGUCGCUGACUUUGGGUUGGCUAGGCUAUUUGCCUCGGCGCUGGACAGGUGUGUCUUGAGUGGAAAGGUAAAGAGCACGUUGGGGUACACAGCCCUGAAGUUUGCAUGCCGGACGGUCAAGAUAACAGAGAAGUGCGAUGUGUACGGGUUUGGGAUCUUGGUGCUGGAGGUGGUAACGGGGAAGAGGCCGGUGGAGUAUGCGGAGGACGAUGUGAUGGUGCUGAGUGAGACGGUGAGAGAGGGGUUAGAGAAAGGGAGAGUGGAGGAAUUCGUUGACGGUAGGCUGAGAGCGAACUUUCCGGCGGAGGAGGCAAUACCAGUGCUAAAACUAGGGUUGGUAUGUGGGUCCUAAGUGCCCUCGAAUAGGCCGGAGAUGGAAGAAGUGGUGAAGAUAGUAGAGCUCAUACAGUGUCCCUCUCAGGAGUUUGACUGACGAUGACAAAAUGGAACAAUAUUUCUUUAUUCCUUCUUGAGUUUUCAUAUAUAUAAAAGUUCCAUCUUCUUCUAAAGAAAGGUUUUGUUUUAUUAUGAGUUUAUCAUGCUAGCUGAGCUCAGUUCAAGGAAUCUUUCACACUUGGGUGGUUUCAUUGUAAUCAAAAUGUUGAAGGUUGUUUUUGGUUCAUAAAGUAGAUCAAAAUGUUUGAGGUUUCUCUGUUUGUUAUGCCCUUUCUAUCAUUCCCACAUUUUUAUUUGAAUCUUUGAACAUACAUUAACAUAUUCAGAAGAUGAGGAAAAUAAGCGUAAUGGAGAAUACAUAGUACAUUUGAAAAUCUUGAUUUCGAAGGGAUGUACAGUCGGUCAGCAAAAUGAUAAAGCAAAAAUAAAAGGGAAAUAGAGAAAUCCACCACCACCACCAUUGUGAAGUGAGAGACCCCAAGGUCCAAAGCUUAAAUUCCAAGCAUAAGCUUUUUCUGUAAUGCUUUCAUUAUGUUUCGAGAGCUCCCACACACGUACUCAUUUCUUUUCACCUUUUUUUUGUGACGCUCUUCUUUUCACCUUUAUUAUAGAUAAAUAAUUUACGGUUAUGAUGAAGUGCUCACUUAGCGAAUGAAUGCUAUAAAAUAUAGUACUCAUUUUCAUUUUAACACAGACUGCUGCAAGUAAGUGUUAUAAACUUAUAAUCUAAAGUAAGUUUUCCGAGCAAUUUUUCAUAUUAAAUAAGUUCAAACUAAUAUGAACAUUAUUUAUUUUACACUAUUACUUAAAAUAUUUCUGAAUUAAAAGAAAACUUUUCCACUUUGAUUAUAUGUUUUUUUCUUAACACUUUAACUAUAUGUUUGUUUUCAAAUAAUAUAUAUUCUUCUUCGUAUACUUCCAAAUAGUUACUCGAAAUUUGCAUUUGUCAAAAAUUUAACAAUAUAUGAUGUACACAGUACAAAUCCAAAUGAUUAAGAAGUAUAUAGUUAAGUUUCAAGGGCGUUAACACUUAAAAAUAAAAACUCUCACCUUUAAGUAAACGGCAACGAUACGAAUUGAAAUACCUUAAAUAUUUUUUGUGAGAUCAUAGAUCUAAGUGUUAAAUUAUAAUAUAAAAAUCUUAUAAUAUUAAAAAUGUUAUAAAAUUAACAAAUAUUACGUGUGAAACGCGAAAAAUGAGUUAUCAAAACAUAUAACAUAUACAAAUGCAUAAUUAUAAUAUUAAAAAU